CCGUGCUAGACGGGGAGCUAGCGGUGCCCUGUAUCCGCAAUCCGCUACAGCGGAGUUGAAUUCCUACUCGAGGUCGCGCUCCCACAGGGUCUGUUGCCCCACGACAAUGUUGAUGGCCUGGUCCUGCGCGACGAAGCGCC
Molecule: signal recognition particle RNA, 140 nt
Filed under: Dehalococcoidia bacterium
Lineage: Bacteria; Bacillati; Chloroflexota; Dehalococcoidia
Description: Bacterial large signal recognition particle RNA
Rfam family: Bacterial large signal recognition particle RNA
About the family: The signal recognition particle (SRP) is a universally conserved ribonucleoprotein involved in the co-translational targeting of proteins to membranes.
Source: Rfam by way of RNAcentral